RNAcentral lists this ribosomal RNA (531 nucleotides) under uncultured Ascomycota. Its description in RNAcentral is "eukaryotic LSU rRNA". The stretch from base 197 to 350 matches the Rfam family "5.8S ribosomal RNA". Lineage: Eukaryota; Fungi; Ascomycota. The record is from RNAcentral.
GCCCUUUUCGAGGUGAACCUGCGGAGGGAUCAUUACUGAGUACUUUACUCACUACCUUUGUGAACUUAUCUGUUGCUUUGGCAGGGAGCUGGGCCCUUGGCCCACUAAAUUGUUAGGGCGUUGCCUUAUGCCCUGCCAAAGGAUUCUAGGCGCUAUAUUUUUAGUGGUUAAUUCUGAGUGAAUUCUUAAAGUUAUAAACUUUCAACAACGGAUCUCUUGGUUCUGGCAUCGAUGAAGAACGCAGCGAAAUGCGAUAAAUAAUGUGAAUUGCAGAAUUCCGUGAAUCAUUGAAUCUUUGAACGCAUCUUGCGCCUAUUAGUAUUCUAGUAGGCAUGCCUAUUCGAGCGUCGUUUCUAAACUCAACUAGCUUUUAGUUGGUGUUGGAGGCCUGGAACUUACUGGCUUCUCAAAUAUAGUGGCCACUGAGUACAGAGCCUUUCUUCUACGUAGUACAUUUACCCUCGUCUAAGAACUCUUAUUCAUGCGCCUUAAUUGUCUUCUGAGUUGACCUCGAAUUAGGUAGGAAUACCC